This 20-nucleotide small nuclear RNA is filed under the name Arabidopsis thaliana (thale cress). Its description in RNAcentral is "snRNA_06344". The record is from RNAcentral. Lineage: Eukaryota; Viridiplantae; Streptophyta; Magnoliopsida; Brassicales; Brassicaceae.
CGAACCAACAACAACCGUAA